This 641-nucleotide ribosomal RNA is filed under the name uncultured bacterium. RNAcentral describes it as "bacterial SSU rRNA". It matches the Rfam family "Bacterial small subunit ribosomal RNA", at positions 702 to 1338 of the family's 1533-position model. The record is from RNAcentral.
AGGAACACCGAUGGCGAAAGCAGGUCUCUGGGCUGUAACUGACGCUGAGGAGCGAAAGCAUGGGGAGCGAACAGGAUUAGAUACCCUGGAUAGUCCAUGCCGGUAAACGUUGGGCACUAGGUGUGGGGACCAUUCCACGGUUUCCGCGCCGCAGCUAACGCAUUAAGUGCCCCGCCUGGGGAGUACGGCCGCAAGGCUAAAACUCAAAGGAAUUGACGGGGGCCCGCACAAGCGGCGGAGCAUGCGGAUUAAUUCGAUGCAACGCGAAGAACCUUACCAAGGCUUGACAUGUUCUCGAUCGCCGUAGAGAUACGGUUUCCCCUUUGGGGCGGGUUCACAGGUGGUGCAUGGUUGUCGUCAGCUCGUGUCGUGAGAUGUUGGGUUAAGUCCCGCAACGAGCGCAACCCUCGUUCCAUGUUGCCAGCACGUAAUGGUGGGGACUCAUGGGAGACUGCCGGGGUCAACUCGGAGGAAGGUGAGGACGACGUCAAAUCAUCAUGCCCCUUAUGUCUUGGGCUUCACGCAUGCUACAAUGGCCGGUACAAUGGGUUGCGAUACUGUGAGGUGGAGCUAAUCCCAAAAAGCCGGUCUCAGUUCGGAUUGGGGUCUGCAACUCGACCCCAUGAAGUCGGAGUCGCUAG